RNAcentral lists this ribosomal RNA (460 nucleotides) under uncultured bacterium. Its description in RNAcentral is "partial 16S ribosomal RNA". It matches the Rfam family "Bacterial small subunit ribosomal RNA", at positions 338 to 795 of the family's 1533-position model. The record is from RNAcentral.
CCUACGGGAGGCAGCAGUGAGGAAUAUUGGUCAAUGGACGCAAGUCUGAACCAGCCAUGUAGCGUGCAGGAAGACGGCUCUACGAGUUGUAAACUGCUUUUGUACGAGGAUAAACUCAGAUACGUGUACCUGUUUGAAAGUAUUGUACGAAUAAGGAUCGGCUAACUCCGUGCCAGCAGCCGCGGUAAUACGGAGGAUUCAAGCGUUAUCCGGAUUUAUUGGGUUUAAAGGGAGCGUAGGUGGUCGGAUAAGUUAGAUGUGAAAGUCCGAGGCUCAACCGUGGAAUUGCCUCUGAUACUGGUAGGCUAGAGAACAGUUGCGGUAGGCGGAAUGUAUGGUGUAGCGGUGAAAUGCGUAGAGAUCACAAAGAACACCGAUUGCGAAGGCAGCUUACCAAGCUACUUCUGACGUUGAGGCACGAAAGCGUGGGGAUCAAACAGGAUUAGAUACCCGAGUAGUC